RNAcentral lists this ribosomal RNA (253 nucleotides) under uncultured bacterium. Its description in RNAcentral is "partial 16S ribosomal RNA". It matches the Rfam family "Bacterial small subunit ribosomal RNA", at positions 524 to 776 of the family's 1533-position model. The record is from RNAcentral.
UACUGAGGGUGCGAGCGUUGUUCGGAAUCACUGGGCGUAAAGGGCGUGUAGGCGGUCUGUUAAGUCUGAUGUGAAAGCCCGGGGCUCACCCCCGGAAGUGCAUUGGAUACUGGCGGACUCGAGUCUCGGAGAGGAGGGUGGAAUUCCUGGUGUAGCGGUGAAAUGCGUAGAUAUCAGGAGGAACACCGGUGGCGAAGGCGGCCCUCUGGACGAUGACUGACGCUGAGACGCGAAAGCGUGGGGAGCAAACAGG